GCGAGCUCGGAGCGGGCUCCGCUGAAACGUGGCUCUGGGAAGUUUCGGUGGGUUGAGCGGAGGGGAGAUGCCACCCUGACACUGUGCAACAAGUGACCUGGUACAGUGUGACCGUGGCAUUUCAGCUCAGGGCCAAAGCGAGCAGCGUGCCUGCGGCUGGCGCUGCUCAAGGGGGAGGAUGGCAAAGGGGUUCUGUCAACUUUGUAACUAGGUGAAGUUCUCUGUGUAUUUUUCCGUGUAUGAUGCCUGCUUGUUCAAACAGAUUCAAGGGAGUAUUCCAGGGCAAACAUUGUUACGGCAUGCUUUAAGUGACACAUGUCUCCUGCCAUCCUCUUGAUGCAUCUCUUCCUGUAUGUCAAGUGAAGGGCAAACAAUAAGGGAAAAGACAGAGCACUUGCUUUGCAAAAUCUGCAAAGGUUUCACACCACACUCAAACUGUCGAUUUGCUCAGUGUGUUGUGUUUAAAGGUGAUGGAUUUCUAUUCUUCCCUCCCGACGCGGGAUGAGGAUUGAUUUUGCUAAGCCACGGAAUGACUUUGUAGAAUGAAUUCAAACACAUGGCAAAGAGACUUCAAGAUUUUAGGCAGAAAUCUUGUCUCAUGAUCCUACUGAUCUACAUCGCCUUGGCAGAAUACACCCCUCCUCCAUAAAAACAUUCUACUGCCUUGGACCUGGUGGCUUUAACCUUGACUCCCGCUCUCCUUCACAUGGCUCUUCCUUGGAAAGCCAAGUCUGUUUUGAAGAAGGAGGAAGUAUCAAAGUGGAGUAAAGGUUUACACCGAUCUCCCAGAUUUGUUCUUUUGCUUUGGACCCAGUCUGGCUUUGUGUUCAUUGCCAGGAACGAUCAAAUGUUUUUAUCACGUACAGUGGCAGCAGCCUUGAUGUGGUGUUGUUAGCACUGAGGCUGUUUAGAGAGGAAUUGCAGCCUUAGGAGGUGCGAGCUGACCACUUAUGUUUGGUGUGACUGCACAGCAUUUAAAUACUGACUGAAUGGUCAUCGGGGACAUCAGGCAGUGUCAGAGCCAGGGUUGUGCACGAUAUACAUGAGUUAAGAGAGGACUCUGAUUCAGCACUACCUUCCAGAGCUGAAUGAUACCAGUUACUCUUUCAUGUUUGUGUUACCUGAUCGCAGCAGUGAUAAAUAAUGUGUCAUAAUACCGCUUGUAAUUGAGAGCAAACAGGUUUAACAAGAGGUGAAUCAAUGGAGGGAAUAUGCAUGUUACUGUUUGUUUCUGAUAAUAAGGUUAAAACACAAAAUCAGUCCUGAAACUAAUGCUACUGAAUUGGACAUUGCCAAGUAGGUAUUUACAUCCUUAAGAAAGCAGAAGUUCUUUGCUGUGAGUUACAUAUUGCAAGGUUUCAACAAACGUACAACACUUUAUAAAAGGAAACUUAAUGGAAUCUUGAGGUGUCUCACAGCAUUGUAAAUUUUCUGAGUCAUCAAAAGAUUGAAAUCAAACUUGCAAUAGGAAAUAAGGUCAAAGCAUGCAAAUAUAUUGUGACUGGUGUCCUAUAAAUUUUUUAUUUCAAAAUAAUUUUAUUUUUCUAGCCCAAAUAUAGUUAAAUUCUAACCAAAUUCUCUUAAAAGGCUUGCUGAAGUAAAAAUACUGUUCCUGUUGACUACACUUGUAAUUGUUAAAAACAAAAGCCCACCUGAGUUCAUAAUCCAAACUUUUAAAUAUAUUUUUAUCCUAACAGGAAGCAUUAAUGAGCUUCAGAUAACAUCUACAAAGCCUAAAGCCUUAGGAGAGAUUUUCAUGUUUAGUAUAUCCUUAAUUAGAGCCUUUAAAUGAGUCAGACAAAGACAAUAAAACGCUUAUUUCUUUGCAAUGAAAUGACCUACUGUAAUGUUUAUUAAACCGUGUUGGAACAUAAGCUAAGUUACCAUACAAAUACGGUAUCAAACCUCAUGCUAAGAAAAAUGUUGGCCUAUUUUAGGCAUUACAGGUCCUUUCUUACUAUCCCAAGACUUUUUGUAAGACUUGUACUAAUUUAGGGAGAACUGUUUGCAUUACCUGUUAAUCUAAAAUAAGAUGAACAAUAAACCCAUCCCAAUUUGGGUGGAUAAAGUCAGACACAUAAGUCAGCACCCUGGACUCCUAAGCAAAAAUAAUCUCAUUUUUAAGGCACUGAGCCCUUAAUAGAAUUUACGGUUCUUGAAGAGAAGGUGUAAUGUUUAGCUGGGUAAACUACACUACCUGGCUACAUCCAAAUGCAAAAUGAUGGGCCAAGAUAUAAUGCCUGAUACUACACUCUUUAAAGCAAUUGUUCUUCUGAAGUUAUUGGGAUCAAAUGUAGGAUCUGACUUAGAAUUCCAGUAAUCAUUUCCCUUUUUCCUACUGUUCUGUUCUCAGAUGUAAAAGUGAAAUCUGCAGAAUAAAUUCCGUAGUUCAUUUAUUUUAAAAGAUGUUUGCAGAGCCCAUGUUUCACUAAUAAGCUGCUGUAACUCAGCUAAUUCUUGGAAUACUUCUAAAAUGGGAGAAACCUAACAACUGUAACAAGGUAAUAAGCAUAAUUACAGAGAUUGGGAGUUUACCUCUCUUGGAGAGGCAUCAAUCCUUAUCAGCUUCAGUGGGGAAUUUCUGACUAAGCUCAAUAAAUUGUACAAGUAGAUUAAAUAUACUUUGCAUUUAAGAUCUGCUGAAGUCCAGCACUGAAACUACUUUAUUACAUCAGGCCAUAAUGUGCACAUCUCUUCGUAAUAUUUUGUUUAUAGUACAGAUUAGGUUUGUUGGGGUCUUUUUUCCCAAAAAUCAGAAAAUCACCUUGUUUAUUCCAAAGACCUAGGUUUAGAUUUUCUUCUUACUAUUUUCUAAAUGAAGCCUCACAACACAGAAAUACUAGAGAGGUCCUAAGCCGAAAUACCAAAGGCAGUUAAAAAAGAUAUCGAAGGAAGCUAUGUCCUGCCUCCACAUUCCCAGGUGCCUUUCUGUAGGAUUUGCUUUUGUGAUACUUGUGCACCCCACGCUUUCAGGUAGAACACCAGGAAAGAGGUGAAGUGGCCUUCCAGAGAGCCAGCACCACAACCAGCACUAGGAUGCAGAGAGGUCCAGUGCCACGGGAGCUCUUUCCAGGCUAUUUCACCAUCAUAAUGAGCUUUAGCAUUUGAUUUUGCUCUGUUUACCGACCAGUUCGGUUUGCGCAGUGACCGCGCGAAGCAGAGCAGGGACUGCCGUGGGUCCUGAGGCUCCAGCUGCCUCCUGAGCCCCAGGGGUGAGGCUUUUGCAUGAGCAAGAGAGCUUCAGAUGAGAUGCAUGGGCUGUUUGUCUACAAAUGUACAACCUCAGUUAUGUAAGAAGUCCUGUUUAAUUCAGUAAAUGUAGGCUCUGACUGGAUGGAACCUGAUGGAGACAGGAGCACACCCUGGGAUUCACAGAUGAGGCAGAAGAGCCAAGUCUAAAAGCUAAACUGUACAGGUGAAAGAGAGUGUUUGUCUCUUAGGAUAAUGUGUGCAAUCCUGUGUGCUGUUUUCCAUCUACAACAGAACAGUAGCAGACCAGAUGGAAGCAGAACAUUCAACCCCCAAUCACUGCUCUAAAAUGUCUGUCAUUUUAACAACCAACUAUAAGAUGUUUUAAGGUUUUUACAGUAUAUUGUAGACCUGGUGCCAGACCUCCUGUUGACUUUUAUGAAAGUUCUAUAAAUGAACAGGGGGCAAAUUUCAAUCACAGAAUGGGAUUUGCACAGCAUUUGACUUCCUAUGAAAUUCAAAAUAAAUGCUUUCAAAACUGUUUGCCCUGAUGCUGUAUUUAGUCUGCUUUCCCCAGCACAAAUGCUUGAGCAGAGCAAGUGCUUUGCCAAAUGUUGGCAUGGGAUUUUACAUAUGGUAGUGUUGUGUUUCGAGAUGUCUUAAUUUAGACAAAGCACAAAUCUUGACCACACAGGGGUAUCAAAGUUACUCUGGCACUUUUUUGCAGGAGCAGGUUUGUUAGUCACGAUGCCUUGGCCAAGUUCCAGAUCAGAUAGUUUGUCUCCUAAACUUUUGAUUGCAUAGGCAAUCAGCUUCAUGCCCUUAAUUUUUGUGUUGUGAUAUUUAACAUUCUACCAUUGGUACUUUGUAUUUACAUGAAAUAAUCCAUAUUAAUCAUUCACGUUUCAGUAAGAUUUCAGUUGUCAAACACAUACCUGUAUGAUCAUAGUGGGUCUGCAAAAAAAUAAGUAUGUAUACAUGAAAAUUCCUGCAAGGUGGAACCUCAAGGGCUUCACAUGUUUUGGUGGGCCUGAAAAGCACUGCUAAAUAUUUUAUAAAAGACAUUUUUAUACUGAUUUCUUGGCAUUUAAGACACACUAACUCGCUGAGAAAAGGGAAGCAGAACAGUCUCACGAUUAACUGCAGAUGCGAAUCCCAUUUUGGUUUACUUGGUAACCUAUUAAAAAUACAGUGUUGGAUACACUGCUACCUAAAAUAAAUAACCCCGAAGCAAUUAAACAGUUGUGAAUAAAAAAAGAAAGUAAUGUUCAUUUUUACAUUAAUAAAAUGGUCUACAAAGAAUAUGCACAACGUAAAAUUGAAUUCAAUGCUAAAUUGAAUCUCCUCUCAGCUGUAAUGUCAACAUAAACUUAAUAACUUUAAGCUACAAAAUUUUAAAAAUCUGGGCACAUGGCUGGAAUCCUAACUGAUCUUUAGUGGUGUCUAUGAUUCAUAACUCCUAGCCUAGCUAAAAUUCCAUUAUGAUAAACUGAUAAUAUUUUAUUAUUACAACUCUUUUCUAAAAGUACUCACAAUACUAGGGCAGUGUUUAUGGUGGUAUGUUGUCUAUUUUGCCUUGGUAUUUUCCAGUAUUUUAGUAGCAGCUCUACCAAGUUUUGAACAUCAGAUUAUGGACUGCUUAUAAAUUGAAAAAAAGGUAAAAAUAAUGAGCUCACUUUCAUAGAAUGAAGUUCAUUCAAAGAAAGUAGAUGAUAAAUUGUGUUUGGCGAAGGCACAGACAGAAACUGUAAAAAUUGUGAGCAUUUGCAAUGCUGGUAGAGAGAAGUGUUCCAUGAAGCUGUUAGGCAGUUUUACAAGAGCCUAGUGGAAAAUCUUGCAAAGGCUCAGAAAUUCUUGGCUUAUGCUAUAUUUUUACUGGAUGUAAAUUAGGAAGAACUUUUACUAACUAGAUAAGGAUCCAUCCCUCUAUUCUGUAAUUAAAUUCAUUCAAAACAUAGAAAAACAACAGUCCUUAGUGUAGUCUCUGUCAUAUAUUAAUAUAAAUGUUAGUCUAAACCCAGUAUAUAACUUUCACCAAAGAGGCACUGUUUACUCAAGAAUCAUGCUGUACUUUCUUUUUUUAAUCUACCACUAUUGUCACAAUUUACUAUGCAAAGGAGGAGGAUAAAAAGUUCAGAUAAAGUCCACCAGGUGGAUCAGGAGGAAUUGUCCAAAUAGGACAAGGGGCAUGAAAGGAUGGAAAAAAUAACGCAUAUGGAAAUUUAGACUUUAGGAAAUGCAGUCUCAUAACUUGGCUGUAGGAUGUUUUGUAAUUUAUAAUAGUCUUGUAUCUAAGUAAGCUUUAAAAAAAAAAGGUGUUGAUGUACAAACCAGGUCCAUUUAAAAUCAUCUAUCCAGCUUAAUUUGCUACUCUUUUUGCAAAAGUUAAACACGAAAAAGGUAAAAACAUUGAAAUACUACUUAGAAUGAAUCUACCCAGUGCACAAAGUACGUACUAGUUGUUUGUGUCACAGAAUCUAAUUUUGCACAGUCUAUUUCAGAAAUAGGUGAUCCUGCAAAACUGAGAGAAACACUUGCCUUCCAAAUCAGUGUCAUGGCAUGUAAACUAGGAGGUGACUUUCUGUAGCUGUGGAUUUUCAUCAUUGUCCAGUAAUACUACUAAUAAAAUGCCUAAGGAUCAUAAAGACUGUAUUCAGCAAAUUUUUCUACCAGGUUAGAAUUAUUAUAAACAGUCUGAUAUUUCAUUGCUCUGCUCUCAGGCUCUUGAAGUUCUGAGUCAUUGGUACAUGAGUUUUACUUCCAGUGGUUUAUUUGCAUUUAAAUAAAUUCUAAAAUAUCAAGUAAGUGAAACUCAUUAUACACAAUGGAAAAAAAAAUCCAUGUCUCAUCAGUUUACCCAUGCCCAGAAAUGCAAAUCACAACCCAAAGUUUAAUGGUAGCCCCCGAAGGUGAUUUUCCCAAACUUUGCACGAUUAGUCAUGUGUCAGCAUUACUGCAGUUCCUCUCAAAAAACGGGUUGUCCUGAACUUCUGUAGGUUGGCAUAGUAGAUGUAAGCAUUAAGUUUUCUUCCUCUACUUCUCCAUUGCCUGUCAUGACACUCAGAUUUGCCACUGCUUUGCCUCUCAUUGUCCUGUUUGUUGAUUUUCUCCUCCUUGCUCGAGUUUGAAGGCUUUCAUGAAACGUUUUGCCUCCUGCCACAUUUGUGCUGUGUUUUCCUUCCUGCUGCCCACGGCAGGGCACCCAACUCGCCCGGGCCAUGACUGCUGCCUGCAACAGGGGUCGAGUCCCCUCUCAGCAGCACUUGGUCACAAAACAAAAAUGUUCCACAGCCAAGGUCUACUCGCUGCCACAAGUAGAAGGAAGUGAACUGAUGGUGAAAAAUUUGGUUACCAGCAGAGCUCCCUCUUCACAAACUGUAUGAAGAUUAGGAAACAAUAGGGGACUGCCACGAGAAGAGAAGUAGCCAGGUUUAAAAAAAACACCUGAGUUUUAUCUACAACAUUUGCAAGGUAGACCUAUGCCCAUAAACCCACUUUUCUCACAUGCUUCUCUAUUUUGGCAAUCCCUACAGGAAAAGAGCCACACUAAAGUCUUUGUGAGUUUCUCUGUAAAAUAUGGAACACACUAAUGCUUCAUGUUCACUUGUCUUAGAGCAGUCUACUGUCUUCUGGUAACUUGAACUGUUCAUUUCAUAGAAUUUCCUUUUUAUACCUCUUAUCCCGAUACAGGUGUUGAAUACAAUUUACCAAUACCUUUGGACAGCAUUUUUCAAUAAAAUAUGCAUUUGGAACAAAGUAGCACCUAUGCAUUUAGAACAACAAAAGCGUGUGUGAUAAGAAAAGUACUGUGCAAUGAAUUAAGACAAAUUACCAUUCUUGAUUACAUUAAGACUUCAUUUGCUGUUAGGAGAUACAUAAAAGAAAUUCAGAUGCUCUUGUCCACUGACAUUUAGAAAUGAGACCUUCAGAAUUAUUUUGACAUGCAUUUACUAUCAAUCAUUUGGCUUUAUAGACCUUAAUAGUUUUCAAAAGCUGAGGAAACAAACUUUAAAAUUUGUCUUAACAAGAUUAGAGCCAGCUGUAACUUAACCUUUACAUCAGUGAAUCUAAUUGGAAAUUACACUGAUGUAAAAAACAGAGUAAUUUGCUUCCAAGCCUUUUUCACAUUAAUUUCUGUCUUCCCAACGUCACCAGUCAGGUUCCAAAGCUACAGUGUCAAGUAGUGAAUACAGCAUUUCCUGGAUAGGGGCAGGAAAGCAGUCACAAAAUACAUUUUCAAAUUCAGCAUUUUCUGACUAGUAGGCGUAUCAGUAAAAGGUCCAGGAACUCUUAUUCAUUGUUAAUUAAAAAUCAGUUGAGGGGACAUAGUUGCCCAUUUAAGUCUACUCUGAAAUACAGAAAUAUAUUUCUUGAUAAGUAAUGCUGAAUAUUAGAGUUUAACUUCACAGAGUUUCCUAUGGUCAAUUUUGCUAAUAUUAAUAUAGGAAUAAACAAAGACCACAGUAAAUAGAAGCUUCUUGAGUACUUCUGAGUAUUAUGUAAAACUGAGAGUAAACAUCACAUUUUUAUAUGAUAGUAAUCUGUCAGAGCCUCUUAAAAUCUUAAUAGGAAUAUCUGAAAAAAAAAAUCAUGUUUUACACAAAAGAACAGAUUCAUUUUAUUUAUGCUAGGUAGAAGAUGGCCUUAGUCUUCAAUAUGAUCUUGGACACCAUUGUCAUAGGAGUAAUGACAGAAAUGUGACAGAAGUGAUUAAUGAAAUAAAAAAUACAGCUUGACAUGUGUCUCAUCAAAGUGACAGGUUAUUUCUGUUGUCAUUCAUGGAAGUUUAACAAGGAAUAUAAUUUUCCAGUUGCAGGCUUGAGAUGCACAUGAGAUCUUUCAUCUUCUGCUAUAUGUUGUCUAACACUCCUUUCAAGAACCAGGACAAUUUUAAGAAGGCUUUGAAAAAGGAACACAAGGAAGAGUGAUAGAUAAAAGAAAGAGGGAAAAUUAGGAUGUACAACAGAGAAAACAGUGCUAAGGAAUGGAAACUAGGAACUGACAUGUCUUGGAAAGGAACAGAAUCACUGCUUAAGAGUUCAACUGCACUUGUGAUUUUUUUCUCCUCAAAUCAUUUUCAUAAAGGAAAAAUAAAUAUGUUACAAACAUUA
Long non-coding RNA from Corvus hawaiiensis (hawaiian crow), 8300 nucleotides. RefSeq lists it as uncharacterized. The transcript has 2 exons. The record is from RefSeq and is a predicted model, not a curated record. Lineage: Eukaryota; Metazoa; Chordata; Aves; Passeriformes; Corvidae.